RNAcentral lists this ribosomal RNA (1670 nucleotides) under Staphylococcus aureus. Its description in RNAcentral is "partial 23S ribosomal RNA". It matches the Rfam family "Bacterial large subunit ribosomal RNA", at positions 1236 to 2904 of the family's 2925-position model. Lineage: Bacteria; Bacillati; Bacillota; Bacilli; Caryophanales; Staphylococcaceae. The record is from RNAcentral.
GCGUUCUAAGGGCGUUGAAGCAUGAUCGUAAGGACAUGUGGAGCGCUUAGAAGUGAGAAUGCCGGUGUGAGUAGCGAAAGACGGGUGAGAAUCCCGUCCACCGAUUGACUAAGGUUUCCAGAGGAAGGCUCGUCCGCUCUGGGUUAGUCGGGUCCUAAGCUGAGGCCGACAGGCGUAGGCGAUGGAUAACAGGUUGAUAUUCCUGUACCACCUAUAAUCGUUUUAAUCGAUGGGGGGACGCAGUAGGAUAGGCGAAGCGUGCGAUUGGAUUGCACGUCUAAGCAGUAAGGCUGAGUAUUAGGCAAAUCCGGUACUCAUUAAGGCUGAGCUGUGAUGGGGAGAAGACAUUGUGUCUUCGAGUCGUUGAUUUCACACUGCCGAGAAAAGCCUCUAGAUAGAAAAUAGGUGCCCGUACCGCAAACCGACACAGGUAGUCAAGAUGAGAAUUCUAAGGUGAGCGAGCGAACUCUCGUUAAGGAACUCGGCAAAAUGACCCCGUAACUUCGGGAGAAGGGGUGCUCUUUAGGGUUAACGCCCAGAAGAGCCGCAGUGAAUAGGCCCAAGCGACUGUUUAUCAAAAACACAGGUCUCUGCUAAACCGUAAGGUGAUGUAUAGGGGCUGACGCCUGCCCGGUGCUGGAAGGUUAAGAGGAGUGGUUAGCUUCUGCGAAGCUACGAAUCGAAGCCCCAGUAAACGGCGGCCGUAACUAUAACGGUCCUAAGGUAGCGAAAUUCCUUGUCGGGUAAGUUCCGACCCGCACGAAAGGCGUAACGAUUUGGGCACUGUCUCAACGAGAGACUCGGUGAAAUCAUAGUACCUGUGAAGAUGCAGGUUACCCGCGACAGGACGGAAAGACCCCGUGGAGCUUUACUGUAGCCUGAUAUUGAAAUUCGGCACAGCUUGUACAGGAUAGGUAGGAGCCUUUGAAACGUGAGCGCUAGCUUACGUGGAGGCGCUGGUGGGAUACUACCCUAGCUGUGUUGGCUUUCUAACCCGCACCACUUAUCGUGGUGGGAGACAGUGUCAGGCGGGCAGUUUGACUGGGGCGGUCGCCUCCUAAAAGGUAACGGAGGCGCUCAAAGGUUCCCUCAGAAUGGUUGGAAAUCAUUCAUAGAGUGUAAAGGCAUAAGGGAGCUUGACUGCGAGACCUACAAGUCGAGCAGGGUCGAAAGACGGACUUAGUGAUCCGGUGGUUCCGCAUGGAAGGGCCAUCGCUCAACGGAUAAAAGCUACCCCGGGGAUAACAGGCUUAUCUCCCCCAAGAGUUCACAUCGACGGGGAGGUUUGGCACCUCGAUGUCGGCUCAUCGCAUCCUGGGGCUGUAGUCGGUCCCAAGGGUUGGGCUGUUCGCCCAUUAAAGCGGUACGCGAGCUGGGUUCAGAACGUCGUGAGACAGUUCGGUCCCUAUCCGUCGUGGGCGUAGGAAAUUUGAGAGGAGCUGUCCUUAGUACGAGAGGACCGGGAUGGACAUACCUCUGGUGUACCAGUUGUCGUGCCAACGGCAUAGCUGGGUAGCUAUGUGUGGACGGGAUAAGUGCUGAAAGCAUCUAAGCAUGAAGCCCCCCUCAAGAUGAGAUUUCCCAACUUCGGUUAUAAGAUCCCUCAAAGAUGAUGAGGUUAAUAGGUUCGAGGUGGAAGCAUGGUGACAUGUGGAGCUGACGAAUACUAA